AGAGUUUGAUCAUGGCUCAGAUUGAACGCUGGCGGCAGGCCUAACACAUGCAAGUCGAGCGGUAGCACAGAGAGCUUGCUCUCGGGUGACGAGCGGCGGACGGGUGAGUAAUGUCUGGGAAACUGCCUGAUGGAGGGGGAUAACUACUGGAAACGGUAGCUAAUACCGCAUAACGUCGCAAGACCAAAGUGGGGGACCUUCGGGCCUCAUGCCAUCAGAUGUGCCCAGAUGGGAUUAGCUAGUAGGUGGGGUAACGGCUCACCUAGGCGACGAUCCCUAGCUGGUCUGAGAGGAUGACCAGCCACACUGGAACUGAGACACGGUCCAGACUCCUACGGGAGGCAGCAGUGGGGAAUAUUGCACAAUGGGCGCAAGCCUGAUGCAGCCAUGCCGCGUGUAUGAAGAAGGCCUUCGGGUUGUAAAGUACUUUCAGCGGGGAGGAAGGCGAUAAGGUUAAUAACCUUGUCGAUUGACGUUACCCGCAGAAGAAGCACCGGCUAACUCCGUGCCAGCAGCCGCGGUAAUACGGAGGGUGCAAGCGUUAAUCGGAAUUACUGGGCGUAAAGCGCACGCAGGCGGUCUGUCAAGUCGGAUGUGAAUCACUUCACACAAACAGCCGGUUCGGUUGAAGAGAAAAAUCCUGAAAAACGGGUUGACUCUGAAAGAGGAAAGCGUAAUAUACGCCACCUCGCGACAGAGCGCUAAAGCGCGUCGCAACUGCUCUUUAACAAUUUAUCAGACAAUCUGUGUGGGCACUCAAAGUGACAUGGAUUCUUAAUGUCUUCGGACAAUAAAUGAAUACCAAGUCUCAAGAGUGAACACGUAAUUCAUUACGAAGUUUAAUUCUUUGAGCAUCAAACUUAA
RNAcentral lists this ribosomal RNA (864 nucleotides) under Klebsiella quasipneumoniae. Its description in RNAcentral is "bacterial SSU rRNA". The stretch from base 2 to 716 matches the Rfam family "Bacterial small subunit ribosomal RNA", at positions 9 to 873 of the family's 1533-position model. Lineage: Bacteria; Pseudomonadati; Pseudomonadota; Gammaproteobacteria; Enterobacterales; Enterobacteriaceae. The record is from RNAcentral.